RNAcentral lists this ribosomal RNA (2220 nucleotides) under Listeria monocytogenes. RNAcentral describes it as "partial 23S ribosomal RNA". It matches the Rfam family "Bacterial large subunit ribosomal RNA", at positions 1 to 2211 of the family's 2925-position model. Lineage: Bacteria; Bacillati; Bacillota; Bacilli; Caryophanales; Listeriaceae. The record is from RNAcentral.
UUGGUUAAGUUAGAAAGGGCGCACGGUGGAUGCCUUGGCACUAGGAGCCGAAGAAGGACGGGACUAACACCGAUAUGCUUUGGGGAGCUGUACGUAAGCGUUGAUCCAGAGAUUUCCGAAUGGGGGAACCCACUAUCUUUAGUCGGAUAGUAUCCUUACGUGAAUACAUAGCGUGAGGAAGGCAGACCCAGGGAACUGAAACAUCUAAGUACCUGGAGGAAGAGAAAGAAAAAUCGAUUUCCUGAGUAGCGGCGAGCGAAACGGAAAGAGCCCAAACCAAGAAGCUUGCUUCUUGGGGUUGUAGGACACUCUAUACGGAGUUACAAAAGAAAGUUAUAAAUGAAGCGGUCUGGAAAGGCCCGCCAAAGACGGUAACAGCCCGGUAGUUGAAAUGGCUUUCCCUCCAGAGUGGAUCCUGAGUACGGCGGAACACGUGAAAUUCCGUCGGAAUCCGGGAGGACCAUCUCCCAAGGCUAAAUACUCCCUAGUGACCGAUAGUGAACCAGUACCGUGAGGGAAAGGUGAAAAGCACCCCGGAAGGGGAGUGAAACAGUUCCUGAAACCGUGUGCCUACAAGUAGUUAGAGCCCGUUAAUGGGUGAUAGCGUGCCUUUUGUAGAAUGAACCGGCGAGUUACGAUUUGUUGCAAGGUUAAGCGGAAAAAGCGGAGCCGUAGCGAAAGCGAGUCUGAAUAGGGCGCAUAAGUAACAGGUCGUAGACCCGAAACCAGGUGAUCUACCCAUGUCCAGGAUGAAGGUAAGGUAAUACUUACUGGAGGUCCGAACCCACGCACGUUGAAAAGUGCGGGGAUGAGGUGUGGGUAGCGGAGAAAUUCCAAUCGAACUUGGAGAUAGCUGGUUCUCUCCGAAAUAGCUUUAGGGCUAGCCUCGAGGUAAAGAGUCAUGGAGGUAGAGCACUGUUUGGACUAGGGGCCCUUCUCGGGUUACCGAAUUCAGAUAAACUCCGAAUGCCAUGUACUUAUACUCGGGAGUCAGACUGCGAGUGAUAAGAUCCGUAGUCGAAAGGGAAACAGCCCAGACCACCAGUUAAGGUCCCCAAAUAUAUGUUAAGUGGAAAAGGAUGUGGGGUUGCUUAGACAACCAGGAUGUUGGCUUAGAAGCAGCCACCAUUGAAAGAGUGCGUAAUAGCUCACUGGUCGAGUGACCCCGCGCCGAAAAUGUACCGGGGCUAAACAUAUUACCGAAACUGUGGAUGAACCUCUUUAGAGGUUCGUGGUAGGAGAGCGUUCUAAGGGCGGUGAAGUCAGACCGGAAGGACUGGUGGAGCGCUUAGAAGUGAGAAUGCCGGUAUGAGUAGCGAAAGAAGGGUGAGAAUCCCUUCCACCGAAUAUCUAAGGUUUCCUGAGGAAGGCUCGUCCGCUCAGGGUUAGUCGGGACCUAAGCCGAGGCCGAUAGGCGUAGGCGAUGGACAACAGGUAGAGAUUCCUGUACCAGUGCUAAUUGUUUAACCGAUGGGGUGACACAGAAGGAUAGGGAAUCGCACGAAUGGAAAUGUGCGUCCAAGCAGUGAGUGUGAGAAGUAGGCAAAUCCGCUUCUCGCGAAGCAUGAGCUGUGAUGGGGAAGGAAAUUAAGUACGGAAGUUCCUGAUUUCACGCUGUCAAGAAAAGCCUCUAGGAAGAGUAGUACUGCCCGUACCGCAAACCGACACAGGUAGAUGAGGAGAGAAUCCUAAGGUGAGCGAGAGAACUCUCGUUAAGGAACUCGGCAAAAUGACCCCGUAACUUCGGGAGAAGGGGUGCUCUAUUAGGGUGCAAGCCCGAGAGAGCCGCAGUGAAUAGGCCCAGGCGACUGUUUAGCAAAAACACAGGUCUCUGCAAAACCGUAAGGUGACGUAUAGGGGCUGACGCCUGCCCGGUGCUGGAAGGUUAAGAGGAGUGCUUAGCUUCGGCGAAGGUACGAAUUGAAGCCCCAGUAAACGGCGGCCGUAACUAUAACGGUCCUAAGGUAGCGAAAUUCCUUGUCGGGUAAGUUCCGACCCGCACGAAAGGCGCAACGAUCUGGGCACUGUCUCAACGAGAGACUCGGUGAAAUUAUAGUACCUGUGAAGAUGCAGGUUACCCGCGACAGGACGGAAAGACCCCGUGGAGCUUUACUGCAACCUGAUAUGGAAUGUUUGUACCGCUUGUACAGGAUAGGUAGGAGCCGAAGAGACGUGUGCGCUAGCAUACGAGGAGGCAAUGGUGGGAUACUACCCUGGCUG